This 253-nucleotide ribosomal RNA is filed under the name uncultured Hymenobacter sp. RNAcentral describes it as "partial 16S ribosomal RNA". It matches the Rfam family "Bacterial small subunit ribosomal RNA", at positions 524 to 776 of the family's 1533-position model. Lineage: Bacteria; Pseudomonadati; Bacteroidota; Cytophagia; Cytophagales; Hymenobacteraceae. The record is from RNAcentral.
UACGGAGGGUGCGAGCGUUGUCCGGAUUUAUUGGGUUUAAAGGGUGCGUAGGCGGCCGCGUAAGUCUGGGGUGAAAGCCCGUUGCUCAACAACGGAACUGCCCUGGAAACUGCGCGGCUUGAGUCCAGACGAGGUUGGCGGAAUGGGCGGUGUAGCGGUGAAAUGCAUAGAUACCGUCCAGAACCCCGAUUGCGAAGGCAGCUGACUAGGCUGGUACUGACGCUGAGGCACGAAAGCGUGGGGAGCGAACAGG